GUCAAAGCGUUCAUUAAAGUCGAGUUGGCUUAGGGAUACGUUCGUUGGGUAGGGGAGCGUUCUGUAAGCCUGUGAAGGUGUGUCGUGAGGCAUGCUGGAGGUAUCAGAAGUGCGAAUGCUGACAUAAGUAACGAUAAAGCGGGUGAAAAGCCCGCUCGCCGGAAGACCAAGGGUUCCUGUCCAACGUUAAUCGGGGCAGGGUGAGUCGACCCCUAAGGCGAGGCCGAAAGGCGUAGUCGAUGGGAAACGGGUUAAUAUUCCCGUACUUGGUGUUACUGCGAAGGGGGGACGGAGAAGGCUAUGUUGGCCGGGCGACGGUUGUCCCGGUUUAAGCGUGUAGGUGUGUGUUCCAGGUAAAUCCGGUUCACUUUAACACUGAGGCGUGACGACGAGGCACUACGGUGCUGAAGCAACAAAUGCCCUGCUUCCAGGAAAAGCCUCUAAGCAUCAGGUAACAUCAAAUCGUACCCCAAACCGACACAGGUGGUCAGGUAGAGAAUACCAAGGCGCUUGAGAGAACUCGGGUGAAGGAACUAGGCAAAAUGGUGCCGUAACUUCGGGAGAAGGCACGCUGACACGUAGGUGAAGUGAUUUACUCAUGGAGCUGAAGUCAGUCGAAGAUACCAGCUGGCUGCAACUGUUUAUUAAAAACACAGCACUGUGCAAACACGAAAGUGGACGUAUACGGUGUGACGCCUGCCCGGUGCCGGAA
Molecule: ribosomal RNA, 712 nt
Filed under: Salmonella enterica subsp. enterica serovar Typhimurium
Lineage: Bacteria; Pseudomonadati; Pseudomonadota; Gammaproteobacteria; Enterobacterales; Enterobacteriaceae
Description: partial 23S ribosomal RNA
Rfam family: Bacterial large subunit ribosomal RNA
Source: RNAcentral